RNAcentral lists this unclassified non-coding RNA (351 nucleotides) under soil metagenome. Its description in RNAcentral is "partial contains 5.8S ribosomal RNA, internal transcribed spacer 2, and large subunit ribosomal RNA". The stretch from base 1 to 120 matches the Rfam family "5.8S ribosomal RNA", at positions 35 to 154 of the family's 154-position model. The record is from RNAcentral.
GAUGAAGAACGUAGCGAAAUGCGAUAAGUAAUGUGAAUUGCAGAAUUCAGUGAAUCAUCGAAUCUUUGAACGCACAUUGCGCCCGCCAGUAUUCUGGCGGGCAUGCCUGUCUGAGCGUCAUUUCAACCCUCAUGCCCCUAGGGCGUGGUGUUGGGGAUCGGCCAAAGCCCGCGAGGGACGGCCGGCCCCUAAAUCUAGUGGCGGUCCCGCUGCAGCCUCCUCUGCGUAGUAGUUUUCUCCUCGCAAGGGCAGCUCGGUGGCGACCUCGCCGUAAAACCCCCAACUUCUGAAAGGUUGACCUCGAAUCAGGUAGGAAUACCCGCUGAACUUAAGCAUAUAAUAAGCGGAGGA